AUUGAACGCUGGCGGCAGGCUUAACACAUGCAAGUCGAGCGGAGAUGAGGUGCUUGCACCUUAUCUUAGCGGCGGACGGGUGAGUAAUGCUUAGGAAUCUGCCUAUUAGUGGGGGACAACAUUCCGAAAGGAAUGCUAAUACCGCUUACGUCCUACGGGAGAAAGCAGGGGAACUUCGGACCUUGCGCUAAUAGAUGAGCCUAAGUCGGAUUAGCUAGUUGGUGGGGUAAAGGCCUACCAAGGCGACGAUCGGUAGCGGGUCUGAGAGGAUGAUCCGCCACACUGGGACUGAGACACGGCCCAGACUCCUACGGGAGGCAGCAGUGGGGAAUAUUGGACAAUGGGGGGAACCCUGAUCCAGCCAUGCCGCGUGUGUGAAGAAGGCCUUAUGGUUGUAAAGCACUUUAAGCGAGGAGGAGGCUACUGAGACUAAUACUCUUGGAUAGUGGACGUUACUCGCAGAAUAAGCACCGGCUAACUCUGUGCCAGCCGCCGCGGUAA
This 501-nucleotide ribosomal RNA is filed under the name uncultured bacterium. Its description in RNAcentral is "partial 16S ribosomal RNA". It matches the Rfam family "Bacterial small subunit ribosomal RNA", at positions 30 to 523 of the family's 1533-position model. The record is from RNAcentral.